This is a long non-coding RNA of Lytechinus pictus (painted urchin), 4458 nucleotides long. RefSeq lists it as uncharacterized. The record is from RefSeq and is a predicted model, not a curated record. NCBI's taxonomy places the organism in Eukaryota, Metazoa, Echinodermata, Echinoidea, Temnopleuroida, Toxopneustidae. The transcript is spliced from 2 exons.
GAUGAGCAGAAGAGUUUGAAUGGAUUUUCCCAACUGGAAUGCAAGUAGUGUCUUUGGCAAUAACAAUUUCCAACCUAAGCGCCACGCAGCAGAAUCUAAACCGACGGCGAGGUGCUCUCAAAUAAAACGGGACAUCAGACAGAUUUUAUUUUCCUAAACUGCAUAUAUGGUAGGAAAGGAUUGAAACUUCAGAAGGUGAUUUCAAACAUUAGCAGUUUGCUGAUAACCAGCGCAAGAAUGAACCUGGAGUCAACCAAUACUUCUAUCCCAUUGAAAAAGAUCGCCUAUAGAGAUAGUGAUCAUGGUGAUAGUGCAUAUACAUCCUGAGCCACGACUGGAAUUUGAUGUAGCCUGGUCAGUCAGCGAGGAAUGGAGCAGGUUUUCAUCAGGGGUUGAGGUGAUGGCGGGUACAGGUGGAUAGGAAAAUGUUCUUUGGAAGGCAUCUGUAUCAUUACUUUACGGUGAGAUGAGGUCCGACGUCGCUUUUGACCAGCCAAUCCGAGAGGACCCAUCGGUUUUACCAGGACAGUAGGAUGUAGAUGGUGGACUUCAAUCGAUGAAUAUACCAAGUCGUUUCUAUGGUUUGAAAGUUCAUCCGAUGCAGUCUCAUCAUGGUGAGGGGUGAUCCCGGGGAGUGAUCAAGGAUCCAGUUGGUCUUCAGCCGGCCCGAGACCGAAGACUUUUGUUACAUGCCGGAAACCCCAACAAACAUAAUUGAAAGAAAAGAGGAAAAUCAAACGAGCAGAACUAUGAAAACUUCAUCAACAUCGGAUGUAAAAUAAGAAAGUUAUCACAAAACAUUUAUCGACCAAUCACUAUUUCUUUUGUUAUGAUUUUAUUUCAUGAAAUAUGACAUGUCUUAAUUUCUCAUACUGUGAAUCAAGGCUUGAUUCCUCCUUGAAAAUGAGGGAUUUUCAUAAUUAAAUUGUAAUUCAUUAAGACAAUUUCUUGGCAAAUCUGCACAAUUUGAAAUAUUCAAUAUUUCAUUUCAUAAAACACAAAAGAAAUAGUGAGUGGGUGAAGUGGCCUACAUCACUGAUUCUCUUAUUUGCAUAUCACUUUGUUGUGCAAUGAAUGCAUUUUUUUUUCUAAAAUAAGCAUCAUUAUGCUCGUUUGAUAUUUCUCUUUAUUAAAAUCCACUUUUUAUUUGGGGUGGACUUAUCCUUUGAAUAUUACAAUAUGAUUCGUUGGAACAAAACAGGCCUAUUUCAAAAGAAAUAUUUGCACGCGUUAACUUGAGCGGGGUGCAGAAAACGAAAAAAAAUAUAUAUAUAAAGGAGGAAAGCAAGAAAAAUCCGAAUGCCGAAAGUAAAGCAUAAGAAAUGAAGCUUUGAGAGUUUAAAAUUCAACAUUAUUUUAGCACAGUCGCCUUGCUCUCUCGCAAGAUUUUUCCUUUCAGGAUCUCAAAAGAUUUUACAGGAAUUGUGGGUUAAGAUUUAAUCUAUAACUUUGAUAAAGUGUAGGCCUCUAUUAUUUGCCAGUUUCUGCUCCGUAUAUCUGUUAAAAUAAUAAUGAAAAAUACAGAACAAAGAGUUUUUGACAAUCUCUACCUCUUAAUUUCAAUGUUUUACUUAUCUAUUGCUCUUUGCGCAUAAAGCACAGGAAAUUGCGUUUCGUGGAUAAAAAUUUGAAUUAUCCCCUGAUAUACAGUAAGCUUUACGUUGUCAAAAAGAAAUCUUUCAAAGAAAUUGCGCGUCGAGUUCGAAAAACAAAAUUGUUUCAAUGUUUUGCGUGUAAUGGUAUCUCACACAGCCUUAGUUAAGAAUGAAAUAUGGGAGGCAUAUUUUCUAAAAUGCGAUUUCUGUUAAUUCGAAUUGGUAUAAGUUCCUCAGCAAAUGAUAUUUGGGUUAUAUUUGUGAAUUCAUUAUUUUGCCUGGGAGCCAUUUCAUAAGCCGUUCCUGAGUUACGGAUGACUUUACACAAGACUGUUGACCUUUUCUUGUGCAAAUGGUUGAUCCCUAGGAAGCUGACUUGGCACUUGAAAACAUGUUCCAGUCUUUUGUAAAAUCGUGCGUAACUUACAAACAGCUUUAUGAAACGACACCCAGGACCAUUGAUUAGUAAAUUAUCGUGUUACACCUUCUUUUGUGUAUUUGUAUUUAUUCUCGUACCGGUUUCAUGUAAAACUUGUUCCCCCCUCUCGAUCUCCCUCAUAAUUGUUGUAUUUCCAUGAUCACUAAACUUUGUAAUUUCCCAUUAUAUUCUAUAUUGCUGAAGAUAUCUCUCUAUCUCUCCACCUCUACCCAUCUACUUGUCACUGCUAAUUUGCAUUUAUCAUUUUAAUGCUUUCCUUCUUGGUAAAUCCUCUCAACUUUCUUUCACGACCGAUUACAACUGCCCCCUCACUCCUUCGUGUUAUAUGAAUUUCCUUUCAACCCCUUCUUCAUUUUUCUAUCUAUCAUUAAUAUAAAACGCAAACCUUAUUGCAUUAUCCCCCUCAAAAUUAACCCCUCAUCAAGUAUUCACCCUCUAUCCCUCUUCACAUUCAAAUCCACCUUGAACGCCCCAUUUCAUAUCUCAUCCCCUUUCUCAUUCUUGACGGAUUUUCAGCGAUCUUUCAGCUCUUCUCAUUUUAAUUCACUUUUUAAAUAUUCUUAGUCUUUUGAUAUUUGUCUAUAACUCUGGCUCAAUCACAUCCAACCGGACCCACGACUCGGUCAUUCUACUUGGUUAAACAAUCUUAUCAUCCCAUACCUUCUCUGUGACAACUUUUCUCUAUUUUCCAUUCCCUCUCUCCCUCUAACUCCCCUCUCUAGUCUCUACCCCCAUUUUCACUGACCUCUUGGAAAAUGAGUGAAUUUCACGAAAUGCAUUGAUAAAUCUGAUCUAAUAAUCACUUCAGCAAUAGAACUAAACAAACUUCCGAUUAUCCUUUUGAAAACUUUGAAGAAGACUAACCUUAAGCAGCGCCAAUUUGAAAUAUUUAUUCUUGCUUUGUGAAUUCCAUACUAUGUUCCAUAUGUAUUGUGUCAUUCAAUGCAUUGAUUACUAUUACAAAAUACAAAUUGAAUCUGUGAUGAAAUAUGCAGCACAUUUUCGGAAAAUACUAUUCAAGUAAAUCUAAACUGGUAUCGAUUUCAAAAUAUUUUCAAAAAAAUUAUUUUCAUUUUCUGAAGUUCACUCUUGUAAAAUAAAAUAAAAUAAAACCUGGAAUGUUGCAAAGUGCAUUGUUAUUGAGGUGUUCACUAAUACUAAACAAUUUACUCAUGAUUUUUCUUUUGGAUUUAUGGACAAAAAGUGGAUUUUACCAAGUUUACUUUCAUUUGUGUUGAUAAUGAAUAUUUACUCUCAAAAUGACAUAAUGCAGUAUUUACAGUGAUUAUAAUUAUCUUUUUUUAAGGACACAUUGUCCAUCAAUUCCAAUCCAUUUUGCAACAUUUUACCAAGACUAGAAUCUGGGAGGAGUCUGUGUGUGUGUGUGUGUGUGGGGGGGGGGGGGCUAGUUGAAGGUUAUUUGGCUUGUACAGUGCAAAAAAGAGUAAUCCAAAUCAUGAGGGUCUAUGACACAGAAAAGAAAUCCCUUGGUGUAUAUUGAUAGUGAUCACUAUGUUAAGGCAUAAAUUUAAAUUUAAUCAUGGCCUUUCUUCUCAAAACUCAAAAGAUGAAUAUUGUACCAGGAAAAUAUAGGCCUACUUAGAAAUUUCCUUCGAAAAAAAGGAAUUAUACGAUAAACAAUUAAAAUAUACAUUAGCCUUCUAAAUUUGGUUUACGUUCUGCACACUGUACAGUAGCCAUGACAACCUAAAAGCUGAUAUUCUGAAAAUCAUGUUAUGUUUUGUAUUACAUUUUCUGUAUUCUGGAUUAACUGCCAUGAAUUCAAAAAUUGGAUUUUAUGGUUACUUAAAAAAAUCACUAUGUCAGCCAAUAACAAACAUGCUAGCAAAGAUACAAACGUUAAGAUAACACAAUUUUUAGAAUACCAGCCCUGGGCCCUGUUGCAUAAAAAUUAAUAUAAAAUAGUGAUACGGAUCCUUAGAAGAUGAUUGGCUCAACAAAUCUAUCACAUGACCAGUUACACAAUUUAGCUAAUAAGAAAAAUUGCUAGUGGUAUUGGUAUUGAGACAGUAUCACAAGGCACCCGGGGCGAUGGGCGAUUUUGCCCCUGAAAUGUUCAAAAGGGCCCAUUAACUGCACUGUGAAAGCGUUCAGUAUCCAAUAUUGCAGAUUUAUGCAGUUGUGAAAAUAGCCCCUAAAAAUUAAAAAUAAUUUUGCCUGUAUUGAAAUGAGGAAGAUUUAUAAAAAAAUAGGGAUCCACAUCUCUAUUUUAUAUAAAACAUAAUACACAUCAAUUUGCUUGGGCAUAAGAAUAAUUACCUUGUAAUUUGUUACCUUUGAGACAGUCCAAAUGCCCUCAGCUCCGCCUCGGGCAUGUUAGAACUGUUCCGAAGGUAUCUUGUGUGUGUAAUUCCUAUUAAUGCCCUUGAUGUGUAAUGUAUACUAUUUAAGUGAUUUUGCCAU